AAAAGUACUUUGAAGAGAGAGUUCAAGAGGACGUGAAACCGGUAGGAUGGAAACGGAUAGAGCCAACGAACAAGCCCGUAUUCAGCUAGUCGGCUGCGUGCGGCAUGCCUGUGUGCUCGUUCAGGGUGCAUGGGUGUGUGCGGUAUGCGGUCGGCUAGUGCAUUUGCGGGUGAUGUGCGCUGAGGCGUGUGGCGGAGUCCUGCAAACUGUCUGGAGAGGCCUCGCCUUCGGGCUUGAAACCUACAGGCGGGGAGUCGGGUUUCUGCUGCAUGUAGACGAAGCGGCUAGGUGCAAACGCGCUGUCGUGCUGCCGGGCUAGCUGCUUGGCCGGUCGCAUGCGACUAGGUCUUGUUGGUUGGUCUUGGUGGUACGGCAGUGCCCUGGUCGACCCUCGGUGUAAAAGUUGGUCAUCUCUCCGACCCGUCUUGAAACACGGACCAAGGAGUCUAGCGUAUGCGCGAGUCAUUGGGUGGAAAACCCAUAGGCGAAAUGAAAGUGAAGGUCUCUUCAUGAGGCUGAUAUGCGAUCCGUUGCACUACGGUGUACGCGGAGCAGCAUAGCCCCGUCUCGACUGCUUGCAGUGGGGCGGAGGUAGAGCGUAUACGCUGGUACCCGAAAGAUGGUGAACUAUGCCUGAGCAGGAUGAAGCCAGAGGAAACUCUGGUGGAGGUCCGAAGCGCUUCUGACGUGCAAAUCGAUCGUCUGACUUGGGUAUAGGGGCGAAAGACUAAUCGAACCAUCUAGUAG
Molecule: ribosomal RNA, 747 nt
Filed under: Acrobeloides sp. Q6
Lineage: Eukaryota; Metazoa; Nematoda; Chromadorea; Rhabditida; Cephalobidae
Description: eukaryotic LSU rRNA
Rfam family: Eukaryotic large subunit ribosomal RNA
Source: RNAcentral